ACUCCUACGGGAGGCAGCAGUAGGGGAAUCUUCCACAAUGGGCGCAAGCCUGAUGGAGCAACACCGCGUGAGUGAAGAAGGGUUUCGGCUCGUAAAGCUCUGUUGUUAAAGAAGAACACGUAUGAGAGUAACUGUUCAUACGUUGACGGUAUUUAACCAGAAAGUCACGGCUAACUACGUGCCAGCAGCCGCGGUAAUACGUAGGUGGCAAGCGUUAUCCGGAUUUAUUGGGCGUAAAGAGAGUGCAGGCGGUUUUCUAAGUCUGAUGUGAAAGCCUUCGGCUUAACCGGAGAAGUGCAUCGGAAACUGGAUAACUUGAGUGCAGAAGAGGGUAGUGGAACUCCAUGUGUAGCGGUGGAAUGCGUAGAUAUAUGGAAGAACACCAGUGGCGAAGGCGGCUACCUGGUCUGCAACUGACGCUGAGACUCGAAAGCAUGGGGUAGCGAACAGGAUUAGAUACCCUGGUAGGAUAGCG
This 475-nucleotide ribosomal RNA is filed under the name uncultured bacterium. RNAcentral's name for it is "bacterial SSU rRNA". It matches the Rfam family "Bacterial small subunit ribosomal RNA", at positions 335 to 801 of the family's 1533-position model. The record is from RNAcentral.